GAUGAACGCUGGCGGCGUGCCUAAUACAUGCAAGUCGAGCGAACGGACGAGAAGCUUGCUUCUCUGAUGUUAGCGGCGGACGGGUGAGUAACACGUGGAUAACCUACCUAUAAGACUGGGAUAACUUCGGGAAACCGGAGCUAAUACCGGAUGAUAUUUUGAACCGCAUGGUUCAAAAGUGAAAGACGGUCUUGCUGUCACUUAUAGAUGGAUCCGCGCUGCAUUAGCUAGUUGGUAAGGUAACGGCUUACCAAGGCAACGAUGCAUAGCCGACCUGAGAGCGUGAUCGGCCGCACUGGAACUAGGACACGGUCCAGACUCCUACGGGAGGCAGCAGUAGGGAAUCUUCCGCAAUGGGCGGAAGCCUGACGGAGCAACGCCGCGUGAGGGAUGAAGGUCUUCGGAUCGUAAAGCUCUGUUAUUAGGGAAGAACAUAUGCGUAAGUAACUGUGCACAUCUUGACGGUACCUAAUCAGAAAGCCACGGCUAACUACGUG
RNAcentral lists this ribosomal RNA (497 nucleotides) under uncultured bacterium. RNAcentral's name for it is "partial 16S ribosomal RNA". It matches the Rfam family "Bacterial small subunit ribosomal RNA", at positions 28 to 507 of the family's 1533-position model. The record is from RNAcentral.